Molecule: ribosomal RNA, 253 nt
Filed under: uncultured bacterium
Lineage: Bacteria
Description: partial 16S ribosomal RNA
Rfam family: Bacterial small subunit ribosomal RNA
Source: RNAcentral
UACGUAGGGGGCAAGCGUUGUCCGGAAUCACUGGGCGUAAAGCGCGCGCAGGCGGCGAUCUACGUCCGGGGUGAAAGUCCAGAGCUCAACUCUGGGACUGCCUUGGAUACGGGAUCGCUUGAGGAUCGGAGAGGCAAGGGGAAUUCCACGUGUAGCGGUGAAAUGCGUAGAGAUGUGGAGGAACACCUGUGGCGAAGGCGCCUUGCUGGCCGAUUUCUGACGCUGAGGCGCGAAAGCGUGGGGAGCAAACAGG